UCAUGACCUAGUCUCAGACACGAACUUUUAUUAUCUACCACUACCAUGGUGUGUACAUUAAAGUUCUAAAAAUAUCCUUUGAGGGCCCCGCUGGUUGCCGCUGAGAUCUUUGCUAAUUAAAUCUUGUGAGCUUAUAGAUGUUAUAAUAGAUAUUAAGUCCAAGCAUCUUGAGAAAUUUUCGUAAUUAAUCUUCUCAAAUGAAGAAUAGAAGACGUCACCUAUUUUUGAUUUAAUUCUAAUUUUAGUAGAUUUCCGGUUGUUGUACAUUAAAAUGAACAUUAAAUUAUGUUUAGAUUGGUGCGAUUUUAGUGAUUUUUGGAAAGGAAUUCCAUGUGUUAAUUCGUUAAUUUGAAAUAUAUUCACAUAUUUCAUUUUUGAUGAAAGUUUUUAUCAUUCCGUGUCAAAUUGAUUCAUCUAUUUGUCCUUGGCCACCAACCGUUUGAGAGAGACACAUGAAUGCAUCUACAUCUGUCUAAAGUGUCAAAACUUUUCAAUUAGCGAAAAUCAAACUACAUCAAUGCUAGCAUGAUGCAUGAACCCGCAAAGCGAGUCGAAGCAUUCAAUUUGGUUUGUUUAUGUGAAGCCCCAUCUGCAGGCGUGUCUACCUGGCAAAGACCGCGUACCAUUAGCUCGUUUUAAUAUUAGCAGUGCAUGAAUUGUUUAUUUAAUUUUCAGUUGUGCUUUUUUCACCCUGAUCACCAUUCAUUGUAAAUUAUACAAAGGAGACGUGCUGUCAACGACGCAAAUAACUCACUCACUUAAAUGCAUUGCAUUUGAAUGCUCAACAGGACUGCAUAACCGAACAACUACAAUAUAAUUGAACUUAAGGUGCUCACGCGUAAAUGCUUCUUGACGCAAGCAGAUGGCAUACCAAAAUGAACCAUAGAGGGAGAAUCUCGCUAGUAAGCUAUAAAAGUUUGCAAGAUGAGAAUGCCAAUGAGUUAAAAUUUUAUAUCUUUAGAAAAAAUUGUUACGUUGUUCGAAAUAAACAAAAAAAUUGA
Hermetia illucens (black soldier fly) is the source of this 1001-nucleotide long non-coding RNA. RefSeq lists it as uncharacterized. NCBI's taxonomy places the organism in Eukaryota, Metazoa, Arthropoda, Insecta, Diptera, Stratiomyidae. The transcript is spliced from 2 exons. The record is from RefSeq and is a predicted model, not a curated record.